Molecule: transfer RNA, 72 nt
Filed under: Camelus bactrianus (Bactrian camel)
Lineage: Eukaryota; Metazoa; Chordata; Mammalia; Artiodactyla; Camelidae
Also listed under: 2 other names
Rfam family: tRNA
About the family: Transfer RNA (tRNA) molecules are approximately 80 nucleotides in length. Their secondary structure includes four short double-helical elements and three loops (D, anti-codon, and T loops).
Source: Rfam by way of RNAcentral
GAAGGUAUAGUUCAGUGGUAGAGCUCAUGCUUAGCAUGUGUGAGGUCCUGGGUUCAAUCCCUAGUACCUCUA